Molecule: ribosomal RNA, 196 nt
Filed under: uncultured bacterium
Lineage: Bacteria
Description: partial 16S ribosomal RNA
Rfam family: Bacterial small subunit ribosomal RNA
Source: RNAcentral
ACGCUCGACACCUACGGAGGCAGCAGUGGGGAAUAUUGGGCAAUGGGCGCAAGCCUGACCCAGCAACGCCGCGUGAAGGAAGAAGGCUUUCGGGUUGUAAACUUCUUUUAUUAAGGACGAAACAAAUGACGGUACUUAAUGAAUAAGCUCCGGCUAACUACGUGCCGNNCGCGGUAGUAUGNGNGGCGNGNGAGAG